GUUGGACCCGGCUCCGCCCUACCCCACGGGGCCGCCUGGAGAGGUGCUGGGAGCUGGGUGGAGCUUAGAGGAAUUAAACUUUGGCCCUGCGCCUCGUCCAGCCUAGGUUCCACCCUUUUCUGGGAACGUGAGUAUCAACCAAGCAGGAAACUGCUCAACAGUCACAUCUUGAAAGUAACUUGAGGCAACUGCAGGAGGGCUGCAUGGCGGGAAAGAAAUUGCUGAAAACAGGCUGGGUGAGCUGGCUCGUACCUGUGAUCCCAACACUUUGGGAAGUGAAGUUGGGCGGAUCACUUGAGGUG
Molecule: long non-coding RNA, 302 nt
Filed under: Homo sapiens (human)
Lineage: Eukaryota; Metazoa; Chordata; Mammalia; Primates; Hominidae
Description: non-protein coding TPT1-AS1:52
Source: RNAcentral